UAGGGAAUCUUCCGCAAUGGACGCAAGUCUGACGGAGCAACGCCGCGUGAGUGAAGAAGGAUUUCGGUUCGUAAAACUCUGUUGUUAGAGAAGAACAGCGCAUAGAGUAACUGUUAUGCGUGUGACGGUAUCUAACCAGAAAGCCACGGCUAACUACGUGCCAGCAGCCGCGGUAAUACGUAGGUGGCAAGCGUUGUCCGGAUUUAUUGGUCGUAAAGCGAGCGCAGGCGGUCAAUUAAGUCUGAUGUGAAAGCCACCGGCUCAACCGGGGAGGGUCAAUGGAAACUGGUGGACUUGAGUGAAGAAGAGGAGAGUGGAAUUCCAGGUGUAGCGGUGAAAUGCGAAGAUAUAUGGAGGAAAACAAGUGGCGAAGGAGACGCUAUGGUAUGAAACUGACGCUGAGGUUAGAAAGCGUGGGUAGCAAAAAGG
This 429-nucleotide ribosomal RNA is filed under the name Bacteroidota bacterium. Its description in RNAcentral is "Bacteroidetes bacterium partial 16S ribosomal RNA". It matches the Rfam family "Bacterial small subunit ribosomal RNA", at positions 355 to 776 of the family's 1533-position model. Lineage: Bacteria; Pseudomonadati; Bacteroidota. The record is from RNAcentral.